This 941-nucleotide long non-coding RNA is filed under the name Arachis ipaensis. RNAcentral's name for it is "long non-coding RNA (AIPA_LNC001195)". The record is from RNAcentral. Lineage: Eukaryota; Viridiplantae; Streptophyta; Magnoliopsida; Fabales; Fabaceae.
AUGGGUAUGGGUUGGGGUCAUGAAGCAUUAAAUAGUUAUAAUAGUACAAAGAAAAUAGUAACAUGGUUUGGAACAAACAAAGAGUUAUUCAUUGAUGUGCAACAUUUAUUAUGAUACAUAGAUGUAGAAAUCCAGGUCCAACUGUAAUCAUCAGAAAGCUACAAAUUGAAGCAAUAAAUUCCUGUCCGCAAAAUCAAAUUAAAUUUACAAGAAAUUAAAAAAAAACUUACAAGCAGAGAGUAAUAAGAGGGAGAGAGAACUCACCAAUUUCACCAUGUUCUUGACGAGUACAUAUAUAUCUCUAGAAAAACACCAAACUUCAAAAUUAAUCACUACAUACACAACCCAUGCUUCAUAAUAUUAGAUAUAGUUCAUCAUAAGAUAAGUCACCUACAUACUUAAAUCAAACCAAAGCUAACAAAUCAAUAUGAGAAAGAUACAUAUAUAUAAUAUAAUUGGCUUGCUUGAUGAAGCAAACAAUAUACAUAUCGGACCAAAACGCUUCAAUUCCCCGAGAAGAGAGAUCGAGAUAGAGUAGCAUGAAAAGAAGAAGAUAUGAAAGCACACCCUAGCUAGCUUGCUAGAGCUAUAGCUGCUUUGAUUUGAUUCCUAAUAAUAAUGGAAGGUGUGUAAUAAGAGGGGUAGGGUUUCUUCUUCUUAAGUGGAGGCAUAGAGUUGUUGUUGUUCUAACCGUUAUCAUUGGCGGAAGAGGAAGAGGAAGAUGGUGGUGCGGUUGGUGGGGGGUAAGAGAUGCGGUGAGAAUGAUGAUAAAAGUAAGAGUGAUGAAGAGAGAGUAAUGAUGAUGAUGAUGAGGGUAACAACAUUAUCAUUGCUGCCUGUUGCCCUUCUUUUUAUUUUUAUCAGAUUCACCCAACCUAUUCUAUCUUCUAUUGGCCUUCUUAUAUUACUUCCCAUAAUAUACAUGUAUAUAUAUAGAGAGA